This 521-nucleotide ribosomal RNA is filed under the name uncultured cyanobacterium. Its description in RNAcentral is "bacterial SSU rRNA". It matches the Rfam family "Bacterial small subunit ribosomal RNA", at positions 339 to 873 of the family's 1533-position model. Lineage: Bacteria; Bacillati; Cyanobacteriota. The record is from RNAcentral.
UUUCGGGAGGAAGCAGUGGGGAAUUUUACGCAAUGGGGGAAACCCUGAGGUAGCGACACCGCGUGAGAGAAGAAUCCUCUUGGGGUGUAAAGCUCUUUCAGUUGGAACGAAAAAAUGACGGUACCAGCAGAGGAAGCAUCGGCUAAAUACGUGCCAGCAGCCGCGGUAAGACGUAGGGUGCGAGCGUUGUCCGGAUUUAUUGGGCGUAAAGAGUUCGUAGGUGGUUUGUCAAGUCUGAUGUUAAAGAUCGGGGCUCAACCCUGGGAAUGCAUUGGAUACUGGCAGACUUGAGUGUGGUAGAGGGGGGUGGAAUUCCCAGUGUAGCGGUGAAAUGCGUAGAUAUUGGGAAGAACACCGGUGGGGUAGGCGACUUUCUGGGCCAUAACUGACACUGAGGAACGAAAGCCAGGGUAGCGAACGGGAUUAGAUACCCCGGUAGUCCUGGCCGUAAACGAUGGAUACUAGGCGUAUCGGGUAUCGACCCCUUCAGUGCCGCAGCUAACGCGAUAAAGUUCCCGCCC